This is a non-coding RNA of Paramormyrops kingsleyae, 1160 nucleotides long. The record is from RefSeq and is a predicted model, not a curated record. Lineage: Eukaryota; Metazoa; Chordata; Actinopteri; Osteoglossiformes; Mormyridae.
AGAAUAAGAGUUACAUCUGUGGGUGGACAUCAGUAAAAACAAACUAGUUAAUAAUUAUGAGUCUUGUCAGGCAGCUAGAGGAGAAAGUCAAAGGAAGUGAUAGGCUGCACAUUCGAUGCUGUUCAUUUUGUUGAAGGGUUCAUUAUGAUCACUGAAGCAUGGACAUUCCUUUUACACGUAGUUGGGCUAUUGUUACAUUCACUUACGCCUUGCACCCCUCCUGAGAUCCUGUCCAUGGGCAACAUCGAUACCAAGCAGUAUCUAGGCAGUUGGUAUUUCAUUGCAGUGGCUGGAGAGAGGGACUCGGAUGUAAACAAAUUCAGAGCAGUAGACAGUACCAUCAUUGUCCUCCAGGAGGCCGCCAAUGCAAACACACUCCUGUUCAAUGGAUCCAUUCGAGUUGGAAAUCGCUGCAUAAAGGAAGUCUGGCCCUAUCACAUACGGCCCGGCAGAGAUGACUUGGAGCGAGAUGGCAUCCCAGAGAGACUCAGCCCGCUGUGGAGCGGCCGGCUGCUAAACUGCUCUGAGUGCAUUUUCCUGCAGGAGUCAGAGCAGCAACCCCCCUUGAACAGAGUCUUGUUUUACGGUCAGGCAAAGUCUCUCCUUAUGACUUCAACAACCACUGAAUCCUCAGUGAUUGUUCCCAUUGUCAAUACUAUUGUUUGUGAAUACUACAACAACAAUGAUGAUGAUGAUGAUGAUGAUGUGUGCCAAGGCUCCGGAGGUGCUGGCUGACCCUAAGGUCUCCUCACUAGUGCAUCACUUUGGACAAAAGCAUCUACUAAAUAAAUGAACGUAAAUGUGAAUUUCUUCAACAACGGUGUCUAACCAAACUGUGUGGCAGCAUCUGCCUCCGUUCCUCUGCCUCAUAUGUCCGUCUUCUGUGUCCAGCUCGCAGUGCUUCCGUCAGCACGGAAAUGAUCAAGGAAUUUCAAAUGAAGGUGUCCUGCCUUGGAAUGAGGAACGUUUUUGUCCUGCCACAAGAAAAAGAAUAUUGUCAACUUGACGAAAUGGCAUAAAUCAUAUUUUCCGAUCCUGGAACAUGAUGUUUCACAAAAAAGGAGCUAAAGGGAAGAUCUGUACUAAGGCAGUGUAUUUAAAACUCAAUGCUUUAAGUGUAAAACAAAUUGUUAAAAAAAUAAAUGAUCAAUAGUUUCGAA